This 1109-nucleotide ribosomal RNA is filed under the name Salmonella enterica. Its description in RNAcentral is "partial 23S ribosomal RNA". It matches the Rfam family "Bacterial large subunit ribosomal RNA", at positions 1169 to 2179 of the family's 2925-position model. Lineage: Bacteria; Pseudomonadati; Pseudomonadota; Gammaproteobacteria; Enterobacterales; Enterobacteriaceae. The record is from RNAcentral.
GAUGUAACGGGGCUAAACCAUGCACCGAAGCUGCGGCAGCGAACGUAUCACUUAAAGCGAUUCAGCGGGUUACGAUUGACGGAGCGAAGCGACGUCAAAGCGUAUACAAAGUCGAGUCGGUUUAAGGAUACGUUCGUUGGGUAGGGGAGCGUUCUGUAAGCCUGUGAAGGUGUGUCGUGAGGCAUGCUGGAGGUAUCAGAAGUGCGAAUGCUGACAUAAGUAACGAUAAAGCGGGUGAAAAGCCCGCUCGCCGGAAGACCAAGGGUUCCUGUCCAACGUUAAUCGGGGCAGGGUGAGUCGACCCCUAAGGCGAGGCCGAAAGGCGUAGUCGAUGGGAAACGGGUUAAUAUUCCCGUACUUGGUGUUACUGCGAAGGGGGGACGGAGAAGGCUAUGUUGGCCGGGCGACGGUUGUCCCGGUUUAAGCGUGUAGGUGUGUGUUCCAGGUAAAUCCGGUUCACUUUAACACUGAGGCGUGACGACGAGGCACUACGGUGCUGAAGCAACAAAUGCCCUGCUUCCAGGAAAAGCCUCUAAGCAUCAGGUAACAUCAAAUCGUACCCCAAACCGACACAGGUGGUCAGGUAGAGAAUACCAAGGCGCUUGAGAGAACUCGGGUGAAGGAACUAGGCAAAAUGGUGCCGUAACUUCGGGAGAAGGCACGCUGACACGUAGGUGAAGUGAUUUACUCAUGGAGCUGAAGUCAGUCGAAGAUACCAGCUGGCUGCAACUGUUUAUUAAAAACACAGCACUGUGCAAACACGAAAGUGGACGUAUACGGUGUGACGCCUGCCCGGUGCCGGAAGGUUAAUUGAUGGGGUCAGCGCAAGCGAAGCUCCUGAUCGAAGCCCCGGUAAACGGCGGCCGUAACUAUAACGGUCCUAAGGUAGCGAAAUUCCUUGUCGGGUAAGUUCCGACCUGCACGAAUGGCGUAAUGAUGGCCAGGCUGUCUCCACCCGAGACUCAGUGAAAUUGAACUCGCUGUGAAGAUGCAGUGUACCCGCGGCAAGACGGAAAGACCCCGUGAACCUUUACUAUAGCUUGACACUGAACAUUGAGCCUUGAUGUGUAGGAUAGGUGGGAGGCUUUGAAGUGUGGACGCCAGUCUGC